GGAGGCGCGGUGCCGCCGGCGGGGCGGGGGGCGGAGGGCAGGGGCCGCCCGGCCGGUGCCGCGUCCUUUGUUGCCGCCGGCGGUGACAUCACCGUCUGGCGCGGGGACGCUCCGGGACGGGGACCGCGGGCCCUGCCCGGGCUCUGCCCGGGCCCGCUCGCACCGCUCCCGUAUUUUUAGCAGCAUCUGAUCCCCACUAAGUAACUCCCCCAGCGCAGGGGAUCCUGUUUCCCUCCGUCCUGUGGGGCACCGGCGGGGAAGUGUUUCCCAUUGUUCGAUGGGGUUGUUUUUUGGGUUUUUUUUCUGUCUGUGCGAGAAUCUGUUAAUUUACAUCUUGAUGACGAAUCAAGGGGGAAAGAAGGAAAAGGCCGCGUGUUUGCUGUGGUGGCUUUGCUGACAGCGGAGGAUAACGCCGAUGUGGAGGGGGAUGGUUGGUGUGAAUGCCUGCGCUUGGCUGCCUCUGGAAGGGAUGGACAUGGAAAGGGAACCUGAACUUGGGGUUGCACUUGUCUGCUCCCGGAGAUCUCCACCCCCACCUACAGAAAUGUGCAAAGCGGUCUACAGCACUGACAAAUGAAAAGGAAAACUAUCCAGCGGUAGAACUGCACAUUCUAUUCAAGUUUAGAAAGUAUUUUCCUGUCUGGGAUAAUAGCAUACAUACCAGAGGCAUCUACAGGAACGGCAGUGGAGACACACAUUCUGGGGGGUGACUGGAGAGCUGUAUGUUUUCUAGGAUGGGAGUCAUUCCCUAAUUGCAGACCCUGAUGUGUAAUUAACAAAAUUGCAGGAAGUGUUUAACCGGACAGGCGUGUAAUCUGCAAAUGCUUUAGCGAGUUCAAGAAUUCCACCCUGGAAGGAGCCCCUGAGUGUUGAGGAGAAGCCCUAGAUGUAGCAGCCCUUUGCUGGUGCCCUGAAGCUGCACGGAUGAUUCUUGGCAGUGUGUGCCUGAUUUUUUGUUUGGGUGCGAAAGCUGAGUGCCACAAUAAAUUCCAUGAGGAAUUUUUGUGUUCUGAUUUUUGAGCUGAAGUCUGUGUCUGCUGAAGUCCAGUAAAUAGAAAGUGCUUGGUGGCGGAUCAAGUUUUUUAAAGGUUGCAUUGUUCUAAAUGGAGCCUGAAUGAUCCGUGAGGUUUAGAAGUGCGUUGUAUUUUUGUCAAAUCAGCAUAAAAAGUUUGACUGUUUGUGCAAUGUAUUGCAUUUAUAUCUGAUUCUAGGAAGAUUUGUGGAGGUUUUUUUUCUUGUUCUUCCCUUUGAAAGCAAUCUGUUAGCUCUUGUAAGAGUCACCAAUCAGGUAUAUGCCUUAUGCAAGCCUUCUAGUGUGGAUGUUGGCGUAGAUAAGGACUCUUCCUCUGUCAUCAGAGAUUUUUAAAAUUUUUUUCUUGAUUUGUCUGCAAGUGUGGAUGGUUGACUGAGAACCCGACAGACAGUAAAAUAAGUGAACCCACAGGUGUCUAUUAUCGAGUAAGUGUAUUCAUAGCAAACCUCCCCUCAGCUGAAGAAGCUGUGCAGCAUCAGGUGAUGUGCCCACAGGCACUUGGCUGUGUCAAACAUCACUGUCUGUCCUGAAAACUCCUCCACUGAUCCUGGCACUUCCUAAAGCUUCACCUUAGGGUAGCCUUUAGUGUUUCAUAGUCAAAAUCAAAGCUACUCUUUCCACAGGUUUUGAACCACAAUGGAUUGUGACUUAAAAAAAAGAUAGGCCUGAGCUAUACUAUUACGCAGCGUUUUAUGCGCUUUAGAGGUUGAGGGGAUUUAUAAUUUAAAAUUAGUUAAUGUUUACAGGAUACACAAAACUCUUAAGUAUGAACAAUUGCUGAUGCUCCAGUAUUCCUUUUGUGCUAGAAGUCAGUCACCCAUUUUAACUUUCAAGUGGCUGCCCAGAGUCAGUGUUACAAACGGGAAAGUUGUCCCCUUGUUCCUGGUAAUUACUUCUUUCUGCGUCUUAACCAGAGUUAGUAUAUAAUGUGUAGACAUUAGGAAUGAAAGGAAGGAAGGGGAUAAAACAAGCUUGAAAACUUGUGGCAACUAGCCUUGAGAAACUGGAAGGUGAACAGUUUUGAAGCCGGCUGCUGAAAUGUCAGCUGCAUAUUUUAGAAGAGAGUAAAAUCUGAUGUGUCUGUUGCUCUUGGGUUUGCAGCAACAGUGUGUCAGCUUCCUGAACAGCUCUUGCAAGGCAUGCAAACUAAGGGAAGGAGGUUUGCUGGGGAAGAUAAACAGUUGUAGAAGAUGACUUCUGUGUUACUUUGACAUUUAAAGUACUUUUUUGUGUUCUGACGUGAUUGUGCCAGGGGUGUUCAUGUGGGACUCUUGUUGUGCCUUAAUAUUUAUUUACCUAUUGAGUUCCAACUGCAAAAUGUACCCCCAGUAAAAACUGCAGUAUAGCAGGUCAAAUUCCUUUGAUCACUGAGUGCUAUUAAACUGGCUGUGCAAAAUUCCUACUUCCAAAAGUCAGGCUGAGAAUUGGAUUGACAGUAUGGACACCUAGAAUCAUGGGGAAUAACUUCCAUUGAGAGGCUCUGCAAAUACCUGUCUCUUGGUUCCUGUGGCAGUACCUGUUACCAGCUGCUGCAGAAAGGCCUCAGAGAGGAAGCAUCUUUUUAAACAGGCGUCUGAAUUAAUAAGAAAGUGGCCUAUUAAAGCAUCAGGUAUUUUCCAGUGCAUUGAGCUUAACCACUAACACGAGAAAAAAUGAAAACACACCAAAACAAGAGUGUGUUUUCAUAGCGGGGAGGAAGGAAGUGAUUUCAAGAGUGGACCAACAUUUUCAUAGACAGAUGCUAAUUUUGAAUGCCUCCAUUUUAGAACCCAGAAAUUACAACUGCUUUCCUAAGUGUUAGGAACAUGCAGCUCCAUUUUUAACCAGGGAAUCUGUGAUUAGGAAGGAGUUAGCUUUGGUUUUGUUUUUUUUCCUCAAGUCCUCAAAAUUGAGUAUGCUUUCAAAUUUGUUUUCCUUUUUGGUGUAUGACUUCUUCACCAUCUGUUGGCAAUAUGCCGUCUGCUGUUUUUCCAUACAAGUUCACUGGGUUUUUUUCAGUUUCUCUUAUUCUACUAGUUCUCCUCAAAUACUUUUUUUUUUUUUUUGCAGAACAGAUGUGUCCCUUUUCUUAAUCCUUGUCUUAUAUUUCUGUUCUUAAAUAGUUCCUUAAUAGCUGUAGGAAAUAAUUUGCCAUUUUAUUCAGUUUUGGAAUUUUUACCCAGUAAAGUACAAAAUGCUUUGCACCUUUUUUCCCGAAGUUUCUACAAAGUAGUACUGUGGACAAAAUACACUGUAGUCUGCAAAAAAAAAGAUGUAUGACACUUGCUAAAUUACUUAGCUAAAAGCAUGAGAAAUAAGCACAAGAUUUUCAUGUUGAUAGUAACCUCAUACAAGCUCGUUUGAUAUGUUGAUGUGGUAGAUAGAAUGAUAAAAUAGUUUACCUGCAGAGCUCCAGAGCACCCUCUGGUACUUUGUACCACCAUGUGUUGUCUUACAGGCCAAGAUAAAAUGUUUCAGUGGAUCUGGUGGAUUUUUUUUUUCUUUUUUUUUUAUUUGGAGGGAUUAAUUUAAAACCUUUUGGCCUGGAUACUCAUUUGAUUUGGCUGUAGGCACAAAAUGAGACGAGAUCACAAACAGGAGCUUAACCCAGUGCUGUGCUCCCAUAAUCCUCCAAAAGCUGUUGGGGACAGCAGGUUUUGAAAGUGUAAUUUAGGAUGUCUCAUGGCUUCCCUUAAAGCUGAAGUUGCUGCAAUAGCCUCCUUGGGCCUCCUCUGAGCUGAGUGUCACCUGUACACAGUGUGCACAUCCUCAUCCCACUGGCUUGUCGUUCUUCAUUCCAGCUGUUCCCAGUUCAGGGAGGUGGCACAUCAGCCUGUCCUGGCAGUGCCACAGGCCUGUGAGGAGCACAGCACACUGGGUGCAGCCCUGGAGAUGCUGAAGAAGUGCCCAGAGAACAGUCAGAGAAUCUUCUUGAAAGAGCCCACUGCAUUUCUGUGUGAAGCUUGCCCUGUGGAUGAGAGUGUUGGAUAUUUUUUGCUCAAGAGAGAAACCAAGCCUUUGUUACUCUCUCCUCGUGACUUAAGGUGUAUGUUACAUUGGUGUUCUGAUGUUGUUUUUUCAAAGGCAUGGUAAUUAAUAUAAUUAAAAAUUGCUAGCCAAAUGAAUUCUGAUCUAGGAGUUGCACCCAUUUAUAGAAAGAGCUGAACAAAAAUUCCCUUAGGCCCCGAUGGAAAUGAUUUAGCAUCUGUGCUUGUAUUGUACAAGAGACUGUGGUAGUGUAACAGGUUAUGAUCUACCAUGGAGUGGUUGUGCAAAGCUGGAACUCUUGAUCUAUGUUGGAACAGCAUAAAAGGGGAAAAGAUGCAAUGGGAAAAUGUUACGUACAGAAAGCUAUCCGUGGAAAAAAAGCAAAGCAGCUAGUAGGGUUACUUUCAUGUAAGAGAAAGCAGUGUAUUUAAAAGUUGCCUAUGCAUGUCUUGCCCUUUUUUCUGCUUGUCCUCCACAUCUUGGUGAUGAUGUGUAUGAAUUACAAUUGCUCUUGUGGAUGUGAACUGAAAUAUCACUCCAGUCCACAAUUCCUUAGUCUGCUGGAAACUUCAAAGGGCUUCAAACCCUUUGUUUUUGUUGCUGUGUUGUUGGUUUGUGCCUUCUGACAGCAGUGCCCAAGGUGAAAAUCGGCUACUAUGAGGAGGGAAAGUGAUGGAGGAGCUGAAACUGAGAGUUUGCUGCAUGGAUAAGAAAUAGAGUAGCCAGCGAUGUUUGGUGCUUCUCCUCAAGGAUGAGAUUGCUUGAGUAACCUUAUGUAAUUCAUUCUCAGAAAUGUUUUAGUAGUUUUCUGGAAUAACAUUUUUUCUGGAAAGACCAGGCAUUAAGUGAUAAAGUCACUCCUGAUAAAUAGUUACGGUGUAAUUUAGACCUGCAUUCAAAAAAGCUGUAAGUGCUCCAUGUUUUGUGCUGCAGUUCUGGUAAAUUAUUUGUAUAUGUAAUGCAAUAAGCCUUCUUUUUAAUAUCAGUAUAGGGCUAUACAGUUCAUUUUCCAUACAGUAAUGAAAUGUAUGUAUUAUGAAUGUCAUUAUAGUAGCACUCAAGAUUACUUGGUAAGUGAACAAUAUGCCAUGACACUUCUUAUUCUUCCACAGCUGAAGAAUUUAGCAAGUUGUCUUGAGAAUUGUAUUGCUGGCAAUCAGUUCUAGGUGAAAAGUUUCUUGAGGGUGCUAAGUCUAAACUUCCUUUCUAGACAACAGUUAGAAAAAACCUGCACCUGUAUUUCCUGUCUCAGUGCAUAUUGGUUUCAGCAUAGCCUGCCACACUGGCUGAGGGGGGCUGUCUUUCAUUUUGCUGGUGAAAAAAGCUGGUGGGGCAGAGGGAGAAGAGAGGAAGGAAGACCUGAAAGUAAAGGAUACCAGAUGGUAUCACAGAGUUAGGUAACUUCAGUCUUGAAAAUACCCAUUCAUAAUCAGUUUAAAUGAAUAUUUCAAUUAAUAUUGGUUGACUAUUGUAAUGCUUUAUCUGCUUAAAAUAGAUUUUAAACUACCGUUGGUUAAAAAUGUGUUAGGCAUGGCUGGAGGAAGUGGGAAGAGUAUGCUAAUGUUUGAGUUCUAUGUGUUACCACCUUUCUUAUAAAAUUAGAGCUGGUUUCUAGAUUCACUGUUGAGUUGGCAGUUGGUAAGGAUCUGUUCCUAACCACUCUGUCCAGGAGAUCUUCCAAGGGGUAUUAUGAAAAGAAUAUGUUUAUAAUCCCAUUUAACUGAGUAUUGCAUUCUGCUUCACGUGGAUUUCUGCAAGAAGUGUCUGAAGUUGGCUCAAGAUGCUCUACAGUCUGUCCCUGUUCAUCAUUUCAACAAUGGAAGGAAGCUCAGCUUGAUGAGCACUUCUGCAGACCCUGUUAAUGGCUGCAGUCAAACUGGUUGCAGAAUGUAAGGCAAAGGAACUAAAAAUAACUCCUCUUGCUUGUGGCAGACUUGUGUCUUCCAGUCCUUGUGCUUGUCCUUGUUUCCCCAUAUGCACAGAGAAACAUACUUGUAUUUUGGAGAAGUAAUAGUCUGUGGAGUAGACUAAAGCAAAUCAGCCAUGACUUUUCUAUGAGCUAAUGAAGCAGUUCCUCAGAGACCAAAGAAUUACAAAAUGAGCAGAUAUUUAGGGAUGUCAUGGUUGAGUAAGAAUGAAACCUUUUUGGGGGAAAAAGCUGGAGAGUCACUGUUCUCUUGACUCUGAAAGGCAAAGCAAGCUUCGAUCUCGACUUAGACCGCAAGAAGAAUUGUCCCUGACAUUAUGAAGGUCUCAGAAGCAAAGAUGUGUCUUGCUCCUCCCUGAAGAAAAGGAACCUCUGCAGAAAUUUAUGACAAACCUGAUGCUGGAGAGAGGGAGCUUUAUCAGAAGAUCUGCUUAAGGCAGUAGAUAAGUCUCCUAAAAUCUGUUUUGGAAUCUGAUAGUUCAGCAUUUAUUUGGCAGCCUGCAUUCCAGAUGCUUGAUUAAUAGGAUGAAGAGUCUGUGGAGAUGGUAAUAAGAAAUCUUGCCUAAUCAGGGUGAUGAAUCUUUGCUGUGCUGGAAGAUCAUGCAUUCUUUUGGACAAGCCAACCCAAACAUGCAAUACCACCCUCCCUAAAACCUAGGACCACCAUGUGUUUAGGAAGCUCUUCCCGUGUGUUUCCCGAAUGUACCUUGGGUUGAGUGCUGUGAUCAGCUGUUGCUGGCUGUACAUCUGGCGUCAGUUUCUGACCCACAGAAAAUAAACCACUUUUAUGUUUUGAAGAGAUAAUGAUCUGUGGAAUGGACUAAAGCAAAUCAGCUGUGACUUUCCUACGAACUAAUGAAACAAUCUCCAAGAGACCGAACAGUUACAGAGAGCGAGUAUUUUAUUUACCAGCCCCUCCAUAGGAAUCUGCCAACCACUCUGUUUCUCAUCAGCGAAGAAGGAGGUCAGAAUGCCGGUGGCAUAAAAGCUGCUGGGCCAGGAUCCACAGACGGUGACACGGACAAAGAGCAGAUGCGUGCAGCGACUGGAGGAGCAGAUAAAAGAGCCAUCCUUUAACCGCGCUUGCGUCAGCCAAAUCACAACCAGCUGGGUUGUUGUGCCGGGCAUUUCUGACCCACCGCAACGCUCACGCGUGCUCUGUGCACGUUUACACACACACGUACCCUCUGUCAAAGGCCAGGCUGAUUUUUGAGCCUUCUUCUUCUCCUCCCUCUGUUUUCAGCCAUUGGUUUAGUUGAGGGAUGAUGUAGACCUGAGGUUCCCAGGGGAGGACUGAAACUGUUGGAAGGAUGAGAGAAACUGUGACUCAGGAAAUUCAGUUCCUCCUUUAGUCCCAGCAUGCAGUGAUGAAUGUGCAGACUGUUAUCCUUGCAAUACUGAAACCUGUUUCCCUUGGUUGUAGUUUUGGACACUGGAGUGGCCUCUGUGUCCUCUCAUCUGCUCUUUGCUCAGAGGGAGCAAUUUGUAUUUCUAGAGGCAAGGUUCAGAAGUGCUUGCAUGCAGUACCCUGCACUCCAAGGCCAAAAGCUCAUGCAGGGACAACUUCAUCCUCAGUUAAAGACAAGUCUCAGCUGGCUGACAGGGCUGAGUUUCCCAGAGCUUGGGACUGUAGCUAGCCCACAUACUAGUGGAGUUUGGACUGCUAAGAGAGGUCCUAGAAGCAUCAAGGAAACGCCUGGUUUAUGACUAAUAAAGUUUAAUGAAACUGCUUGACUAUCCAGUUGUAAGCAAAAAAUGAGUCAGUCUGUGCUGGUUUGGACAAAAGCAAGGAAUUGACCAUCCUGCAACCAUGAUUAAAACCAUUACAUUUACCACAUGCCACCAGUUUCUAAUCUGUGUCAUGGCAAAACUGCAUUAGAAGAGAAAAUCAGACUAGAAUAUAUCCCACAAAUAUAUUAUAACAUAACUACUGUCCAAGUAUAAAUGGCUCUGUGGAGACUGUAAAGUGUCCCUGUAGUCCUCACCACUUUCAUUCUGUGUGGCUCUCCAGAUGAUUUGUGUACAAGCUCUAGCCAGAAGGAAAUGGAGCAAUAUUUCUCUGUAUUUAUUCCCAUAAGAUGUAUCUUGGUAGUGGGGAUACAAAUCUCUUGUGACUCAGUGUGCGAACACUGCAGAAUUGGAUGAGGUUGGGUGCUCUUGCCCUUUCUGUUUCAGAGCUGUGGGAGGCUUAUCUAAGAGAUCAAAGUGCAUCAGAUUCCAUUAUUUCGGUAUCUAUGGGACAGUAUAAUGCAUGAAUACUCUGGGCCAGUGCCUGUGUCUGACUUUUAUUCAUCACUGUAAUUAAAGCCAGAUCCAGAGCUUGUUCUGUGCACUGAACGUUAAUCACAGUGUUUUAUUAACACAGUUGUCGAAAUCUUUAAUUCAGACAUCGUGUAAUUUUGCAAUAUAGAUUAAGACUAGUAUUUAUUUUGCCUGAAUGCAUUAAUUUUAUUUAAAGUUCAGAAAGAGAAGAGAUUGCUCUCAGGUUUUGAACAAAUGAGUGCAAGCAUUGCUUGACUGCAGACAUACCAAACUGCUAAACUGGUUUGGUCUGCACUGUUGCUUAACAAAAAGCAGUGAACUGCUGUAUUCAGUGGAAAAUACAUAAAAGGCUCAGCAAACUAAUGCUCUAAAUUCAGAUUUAGUUAAGACACUGAAAUGAAUAUUUUAACAUCUGUAGACUUUAUUUUGUGCACUGUUUUAGUACUUGCUUAAUUGCCAUUGCCAGUUUCUGAUGUUUUGGGAUUUCCCUUGGUUGUUUUCUGUUUAAAUAUUAUGAUUUGUAUUGCAGUUGCGUCCAUUUAUCUUCAGUUUAGCUUAUGAAAUAUGACUAAGACAUUGCUUUAGUUUCUGCUUCACAGAGUUCUUUAAUGUUGCAUCUAUAUAUUUGGAGACCUUGAGGCAGUUGUGGGUUGUCCCAUGGAGAAUGGUGUCCUUGAAAGUAUAUUGCUCUUCUUGGAAAGGAAGAGAAUCAGUUUUAAAAUUCAACUUUAAAUUAACUAUUAAUUCUUUUCUUGGUUAGUGCCUUUUCACCUCUCAGUUCCUGGCCCUCCAAAUCUCUGUGGACUGUUUUGAUUGUGCUCACAGGAACUAAUGAAAUCCCCUCUGUAGUCACUAAACUGAAACACAGGCCCCCACCUCUACUUGACAAUUUUUAGGGAUCUGCUGGUUGGAAGCAGGCGAGGAGCACUGCAUAGGUGCUGCUGUACUGAGGUCUGUCCCAGGCUGAGGAAACUCUUCCUGCCCUGGUCUCCCACCUCUUCAGCUGUGGCACCUUCAUGUUGCUGCAGUGGCUGAGCCAGGGACCCCAGAGGCUGGGCUGAGUUAGGUGGUGGCCCUUGGCCCAAACCUGAGUGAGAUGCUUGGUUAUUCUCCCACUGCCCUCGAUUGGAAGUGGGAGCAUGGUAUUUAAUCUGUUGGAGUGGAUUCAUACGAAAGCUCGCCUGGAGCUGUGCUGGGUUGUGUGUAGUCAUUCCAGCCUCCUGUAAGAAUCACUGAUGAGGUGCAGGGAGGGAUUUUACAUUAUGUCUGAAUAUAGACAAACUCCUUGAGGUUUCUGAGACCUGAGUUUGUAUUUACUUUACUGUGUGGCUAAACUACUGAAAAUAAGUUUACUAAAGAAUGCCCAUUCUUUCUGUAAAUGUAGUGAGUUUCUCAGUUUAAAGUGGAUGGAGUCAGGUAUUCAAACGGACAGUGUUUCAUGGAGAGUUUUGUUUUUAAAAGUCCUUUAGGAAACAAAAAAAUACUAUCCACACAAGAUUUCAUGCUCCAAGUAAUCUUUUAUUUCCUUUAGAAACUGUAUUCUUGUUCAAUGAGUAACCUGUUUUUUUUCUGCCUCCCAGAAGAAGCAAGAUGACCUAGAUCUAGAGGUUCCUGGGGAAAAGUUCACUUCACCCUAUAUAUAGCGGCUCCUGAAGUGUCUUUAUGUAGCUGUCAUUUACUUUUAGCUGAUGAACUGAAAGAGAAAAGAGCUAAGUUUUAGGCUAAGGUAGGAAAGGAAGGUGUUUUAUCCCUGCUUUUUGUGGGGGUCUCUUAUGCACGUAUCACUGCCUGGAUUACAGCCAGGUGAAGGCCGGACUGCCCAACUUCUGGCUGUAACACUGAAGUUCAGCUCUGUGUAUCUCCUCAAUAUGCUGCAGCUGAAAAAUGACCAACUGCCUCUGUGAAAGGAGUGAAUGGGAUCCUGCCUUUGUGCCAGCAGGAGUUUCUGCACAGGACUCAGAACGUGAUAUCCUGGGGUCACUGUGUUCUUUGCUCCGGUCAGAUCACGCAGAUGGAGACUCCUGCAAGCAGCGCUCCUGGCACGGUGGUGUUUUUAUUGGAAAGCAAAAACUGGGAAAAUGGUAGUAACAACUACAUAACAGAUGCUACCAAACAGGCUGUUGGUGUUGAGGGAUCAGGCAAGUGUUUCCACCUCAGGGUGAUGAGUCAAACGGUGAAGUGUACUGCAGGCUGAGGGAAACCUGCCCGUCCUUUUGUCAGCAUAAGGCUUUUUGGUACAGGGGACUUUAUCUGAGUGCAUCAGUAACUUGAGCAGUUUGGGCUUCUGCAGCCUUUCUGGGGAGGGAAGGGUACUUUCCAAGUCCCUACAGAAAGUGCCUAAGGACAGCACACACUCCUCUCCUGGGGCCUUCCCACACCAGGGCCAGUGCUGGUGGAAUCCAUCGGUGCUCCUGUGGUGGGCUGUGUACACCUCUGGCAUGUGGGGAAAGCAGCAUCUGUGUUUGUUUAACUUGAUGGCAGGAUCCUGCUCCAGCACUUAAAAAUAAUGACUUCAGCAGGCCCAGCUCAGGAGUGAGCACAGCCAAAGCCCGAGGAGGGGCUCAGAGGCUGUCUUGGUGUUCAGCAGACCAUUGGCUGAAACCAGGCAAAAAUGAGGUGUGCCUUGUGCUCAGUGCUGUGUGUGGAGAUGUUUCUGGGACAAGGAGGUCUGAUCUAAUCAUCCACUGCUGCCAAAAAGGGAUUGUUUAGCUUUUCUCUCCUGUUUUCUACAUGGAGCCUGUUCUCUGCAGUCACUCCAUGGUGGCUCUGGUGCUUGGUGGGUCAGCUCAUACCAUUCAAGUGUCUGAAACGGGUUGUCUUAUUCUUCUUCUGGUCAGAUUAGUGAAAUGAACUGACUUCCUGGUGGACAUUUGAUUUAUCAGCACUUUUUGCCACCUAUAGAUUGCAUUUUACUUAGUGACAUCUGUGGAAAGAUCUAGAGGUGUCAGAUAUUAGAUCUGUGCUAUUGCUACCAAGUAUUAGAGAAACUUUGGCUUUUCCAUGUUGAAAUUAAGACUAUACUUGGACUCAGCUGUGUGCCAGAGCAUGCACAGGAUAAGUAUCUGAUACUGGUUUGAGCAGUGAGUGUAUUUGGAAUGGUCUGUGCAUGAAAUGCAGUCUACAGUUGCCAUUUUUAACUUCGGCAGGGUGGUGAUUUCAGUUGAAGGAAUUUUACUGCUUUAGGACAAAUAUCUGAUGUGGAUAAAGCCUUAAUUCUUUAUUUCUUAAAUGGGAUCUUUCUGGUUAAAAAAAACCCUCCAAAACCAUAAAAACAUAAAAGAAAGAAUCUAAGUUUGUCUACCACAACCACCUUUAAAGGUUCUUGAGUGCUUUUCUUUACUAUUUUUCUUGUUAAAGAAGUUUCAUUAGUGUUACCUAACAGUUCAUGAGUAGGCUUGGUAAGUGCAGGAGUGUCUGGAGCCUUGGGCAGCCUGUUCAUGUUGUGCAGCAGGCUGUGCUGUCCCUUGGGACACGACUGACCACAGUAACAUCAUUGAUCAGCGUCGUGGCUUCUGCUCUGCCUCUUUCCUCACACAAGCCUUCCAGUUACGAUUCUGUGGAUGGUUUCCAAAGUCUGAAUGUUGCUUGGCAAGCUUUGUCACUGCUGUUAGGAGUUUGAUUACCUUUGUGCAUAUGUAUGUGAGGACUGCCAGUGUCUGUGGCUUUUAAUAAAACAACCUCCUUCUAGUCUAAAAUGUUUAGAAUUAAGAAAUUAUGUAAUUGUGGAAGAGAAGGAGCUAGGCUGGCAGCCUCAAUUUGACUGUCCUGUUUUAUAUGUUGUGUCUCCUUAUUCUAGUUUGGCAUCACUCAGAGGAGGCCACUGGCUUCCUGAUGGAGCCAGUCUUGCUUAAGGCAAAUAAAGGGACAAAAUCCUGUUUCAGAAAAUAAAUCUGAGAAACAAAUCUUGCUGAUUCUUUGUGCAUCCACUCAUGCAGCGUUACGAGUUCUCCUUGCUGGAGUAAUGCUGUUCUCUUCUGUAGCUCAAUCCCCCUUGCCAGAACCUUUCUAUUCAGCUUUCUGAAUUCAGAACCAGGAACACUGAACACAAGCAGUAAAUACCAUCUUUACAGCCUUUUUGCAUCUCAUUGACCGUGUUGGGUCAGGCUUAAUUUUUGACUUGGAGACCUACCAAAAAAAACCCCUCAAAGCCACAGGAGAUGGGGCUGCUGGGGCAGAGAGGACACCCUUCCUUGUCAGUCAUAUUCCACACUGCCAGGGCUGUGGGGCACUGCAAAGCUGCAGAAAUUGUUUUCUGAAUAAGACCACUAAGGCUCCUUGGAUUAUUUCACAGAAUAUGCUGGCCAGGUUUCAGUUUGAAUACAGUUAUGCAUUUCAGAGGGACAGAAUAUAACUAUUUAAAUUAGAGCAGUAGUUUGUGCCCUUUUUGCCUUAAAACGACUUAAGUAAUACAGCAAACUAAAGUAAGACAAAUACUAUUUUAAAUCCUAAUUGCAGUGUGGUUACCAGCAGUAAAGUGCCUGUAGAUUGACACAGACUGCAGUAAUGCCAUGUAUUCUUGUUCACUGAUGGACUUAAGUUUUACUUGCCAUGGGCCAAAUCCUCACUAGUGGUGCAGCUGCCUGGUGCUACUCAAGCAACACAAGUGGAAUUUCCAGCUAGCAUAUGUUCAGCAGAAAAAACUUUACAAAUAUCUUUUGUUCAGCCCUGCCUUUAUUCCUGCUUCUGCCUGUAGAUUGUGCUGCAGGAGAAAGGGCUUGGCCAAGAACAUUUGUGCUCCACUGUAGGGUGUCUUUCACCAGUGGGCUAUCAAAACCCUCCCUGAGAUCAAACCAGAAUUCCUAAUGGAAAAUAAUUUUGCCAAAAAUUUAUUUUCUCACAUUUAAAGCUUUUUGUUAGUGUCUUAAACUUUGAAGUGGGCUUGACAGUGUUUGCUGACUUGGCUUCAACAAAAUGAGGUUUGGAUUUAAUGAGCGUUAUCUUUUGUAUUUUAUUUAAAUUAGUUUUGAGUUAAACAUGACAAGCAUUAUUGCUAGUUUUUACACUGCAUCAGAGAUUAUAUUAAUUUGGAUAACAACUGUUUUCAGUACAGUCUUGAAAAUUGCAUAUUAACAAGGCUUUAAAUUGGACUGGUGUCUGGACAAGGAGAUAUGUGGAUAAUUUUGCAUAUACUCAGUGAAGUUACUUUCUGCAGACCAUGGAUGAUUUUGGAAGACACUGGUCAAGCUUUGCCCUGUUGCCCCUACAAGGAGCCUCUUUUGAUCAACCAAGAGCUAAGGCUCAAGAAGCUUAUUUCACAAUUCUAGAUUAUUAAUGUAAUCUUGCACCUGUUAUUCUUCUACCAGAUAGGUCUUUAGUUGUUUCUCUGAUGUUUACACUACUGAUUUAUUUAGAGAUCCUAUAUCUCUUUCAGCCUUUGUUUUUCUGGGCUAACGCUUCUAUUUUUAUUUUGUUUAUUAGCAGAUAUGAUAUUCAAACAACUUGGUUUUCCUGAAAAUCAAAAUGUCUCAUCUAUAGUCAAACCAAACAAAGACAACAGCAAAAAAAGGAAAAUACUAAAAUAGGGCAUGUGUUAGGUGAUGGAGGGAGCACUGACUGGCCACUCAGCAUCUUGCAGUGAAUUUCUCAUGGGGGGACUCAUGACAGAAGUUAGAGACAAUACUGAACUUCAUGUGCUGCUGGAUGUUGCCUUCUCUCACUGGGGUAAACCAUUCCCUAACAUGAAUGAAGACCUCGCCAGGAGUGCAGCACUACAUGGAAUGAUACAAAAAAAUUACAAUAAGAACUGUAAGUUAUUUCAAGGCUAACUUCAGUAUAAAGCUUGAACAGAGCAAAGAAAUUUUCUUUAACCUGAUUUCUAGUCUUCUGAAAUUCUGCAGGGUACUUGCUUAUGGUUUUCAGCAGACUUCAUUUAAUGAACACUGGACUCCUUGUUGCCAAAGUUCAUGGAGAAGGCCAUGCCAAUUGUUUUCUACCCCCAAGGAAAAACACAGAGCUGCCCAUCUCCCAGAAGGAUCAGUUUAUUUCUGUUUCUACUGUGUGAUUAAAAGCAAGUGACAGAACAAAAAAUUGUUUGCUGCAGUAAUUUCUACUCAUGUCUUUACUGCACUGGAGAUUCACCCAUAAGAAAGGUGGUAUCUCAUUUAAAGACAGGAAUUCAGGUUCAUCGUGUUACUUUUCCUGUUUGGUUCAGCAAAUCUUCUGGUGUUCCCAGAAAAGCACAUUCCCUGACUUCACUUAACUGCAGCCAGCCGUGAGGAGACAAAGUGAGUUUAGUCCUGUAGCCUUGCAGGAGUGGCACUAAAGGCCAUGUGCUUCCCAGGUUACUCUGCUGCACCCUCUGCCUCUGGGAGAGGUCUCCAUUCAGGGAUCAAAGGGUGAGCUAGAAAGUCUAGGAAGAUAACUAAAAUGUUUCAUAGUCAUUGAGUCAUGUUAUUUCUGCUUAUGAAGUUUGAGCAGUAGGCUGCUUUUUCUCUUGGAGCUUAUCUAGGUAUUACAGUUACCUCUGUAGUUACACCCUAAUAAUUCCCAAGGUAACGAGACUGGAUGUCCAGACUAAAUGUCGUAAAUUAAACGUAAAGAAUUCAUAGGUUUUCUUGAUAGCUGUUUUGCUGGAGCUGUGUGUAUUUUUCUUUUUUACCUCCCAAAAAAGCUCAGUGUUACUCCAUUCUGGCGUUUUGUCAUGACUGCAGUUUGUGUGAGUAUAAACUGACAAAACUUAUUUUAGUGAGCGUGUAGGUUGCAGCAGGACAUGGUUAUUCCACCCUAAACAUUAAUGCAGGAGAAUAGAGUGAGUACAAGUGUUUCUUUAUAUUUUCAUAAAGCCUGAGAGUGUUGGUAGCAUAUUAAUGACAUUGGGCUCUAAUUUCUGACUCAGGGGAGCAACAACAGUAGCAUGAACUUCACCCAGAGUGGUGGAGCUACGCUUCAGUACAGGACCUGAGCUGUAUCUUUGUCUGUGUGUGUAAA
Passer domesticus (house sparrow) is the source of this 15116-nucleotide long non-coding RNA. RefSeq lists it as uncharacterized. The record is from RefSeq and is a predicted model, not a curated record. Lineage: Eukaryota; Metazoa; Chordata; Aves; Passeriformes; Passeridae. The transcript has 2 exons.